This 221-nucleotide unclassified non-coding RNA is filed under the name Septoria glycinicola. RNAcentral's name for it is "partial internal transcribed spacer region". The stretch from base 1 to 46 matches the Rfam family "Eukaryotic small subunit ribosomal RNA", at positions 1786 to 1831 of the family's 1831-position model. RNAcentral also lists the same sequence under 2 other names. The record is from RNAcentral. Lineage: Eukaryota; Fungi; Ascomycota; Dothideomycetes; Mycosphaerellales; Mycosphaerellaceae.
AAGUCGUAACAAGGUCUCCGUAGGUGAACCUGCGGAGGGAUCAUUACUGAGUGAGGGCCUUCGGGCUCGACCUCCAACCCUUUGUGAACACAACUUGUUGCUUCGGGGGCGACCCUGCCGUUUCGACGGCGAGCGCCCCCGGAGACCAUCAAACACUGCAUCUUUGCGUCGGAGUUUAAGUAAAUUAAACAAAACUUUCAACAACGGAUCUCUUGGUUCUG